CAGCGCCGCGGUAAUACAGAGGGUGCGAGCGUUAAUCGGAUUUACUGGGCGUAAAGCGUGCGUAGGCGGCUUCUUAAGUCGGAUGUGAAAUCCCUGAGCUUAACUUAGGAAUUGCAUUCGAUACUGGGAAGCUAGAGUAUGGGAGAGGAUGGUAGAAUUCCAGGUGUAGCGGUGAAAUGCGUAGAGAUCUGGAGGAAUACCGAUGGCGAAGGCAGCCAUCUGGCCUAAUACUGACGCUGAGGUACGAAAGCAUGGGGAGCAAACAGGAUUAGAUACCCCGGUAGUCCCUGUCUCUUAUACA
Molecule: ribosomal RNA, 301 nt
Filed under: uncultured bacterium
Lineage: Bacteria
Description: partial 16S ribosomal RNA
Rfam family: Bacterial small subunit ribosomal RNA
Source: RNAcentral